UACAGUACACUCCAUAUGACUUGUGCAUUAUGAUUUGACAUCAGUGAGGAUGAAUGGCAUUCAUUUUUAGAUUCCCAAGAAUGAUAAACUGUCGGGCAAUAAAAGCUGUCUUCUGCUUCACGAGAUCCUGCCCCUGUCUGUCCUGCACACCUUCUGGGGAGAGAACACAACUGUCUGGUUAUAACCUGACACGACUCAAUCCACACCGGGGGUCAGAGGUCAUCUAUCAGGAGACACGCAAGAUCAUCGGGGCGCUGCAUCAGUAUGCUUGUGGCGCAGCUGACACAGAAUGU
Long non-coding RNA from Carassius carassius (crucian carp), 293 nucleotides. RefSeq lists it as uncharacterized. The record is from RefSeq and is a predicted model, not a curated record. Lineage: Eukaryota; Metazoa; Chordata; Actinopteri; Cypriniformes; Cyprinidae. The transcript has 3 exons.